Molecule: ribosomal RNA, 489 nt
Filed under: uncultured bacterium
Lineage: Bacteria
Description: partial 16S ribosomal RNA
Rfam family: Bacterial small subunit ribosomal RNA
Source: RNAcentral
ACUCAAAUGAAUUGACGGGGGCCCGCACAAGCAGCGGAGCGUGUGGUUUAAUUCGACGCAACGCGCAGAACCUUACCAGGGUUUGACAUCCUCGGGAUCGGGGUGAAAGCCUCGAGUGCCUUCGGGAGCCGAGAGACAGGUGCUGCAUGGCUGUCGUCAGCUCGUGUCGUGAGAUGUUGGGUUAAGUCCCGCAACGAGCGCAACCCUCGUGGCUAGUUACGGAGACUGUCUAGCCAGACUGCCGGGCACAACCCGGAGGAAGGGGGGGAUGAUGUCAAGUCAGCAUGGCCCUUACACCCUGGGCGACACACACGCUACAAUGGCCGGGACAGCGGGCAGCCAAGCGGCAACGCGGAGCCAAUCCCUGUAAACCCGGUCUCAGUUCGGAUUGUGGGCUGCAACUCGCCCGCAUGAAGUCGGAGUUGCUAGUAACCGCCGGUCAGCCAUACGGCGGUGAAUAUGUUCCCGGGCCUUGUACACACCGCCCGU